UGGGGAAUAUUGGACAAUGGGCGAAAGCCUGAUCCAGCCAUGCCGCGUGUGUGAAGAAGGUCUUCGGAUUGUAAAGCACUUUAAGUUGGGAGGAAGGGCAGUAAGCGAAUACCUUGCUGUUUUGACGUUACCGACAGAAUAAGCACCGGCUAACUCUGUGCCAGCAGCCGCGGUAAUACAGAGGGUGCAAGCGUUAAUCGGAAUUACUGGGCGUAAAGCGCGCGUAGGUGGUUCGUUAAGUUGAAUGUGAAAGCCCCGGGCUCAACCUGGGAACUGCAUCCAAAACUGGCGAGCUAGAGUAGGGCAGAGGGUGGUGGAAUUUCCUGUGUAGCGGUGAAAUGCGUAGAUAUAGGAAGGAACACCAGUGGCUAAGGCGACCACCUGGGCUCAUACUGACACUGAGGUGCGAAAGCGUGGGGAGCAAACAGG
This 429-nucleotide ribosomal RNA is filed under the name Pseudomonadota bacterium. Its description in RNAcentral is "Proteobacteria bacterium partial 16S ribosomal RNA". It matches the Rfam family "Bacterial small subunit ribosomal RNA", at positions 355 to 776 of the family's 1533-position model. The record is from RNAcentral. Lineage: Bacteria; Pseudomonadati; Pseudomonadota.